This is a non-coding RNA of Pelobates cultripes (western spadefoot toad), 378 nucleotides long. The record is from the annotation of a GenBank genome assembly. Lineage: Eukaryota; Metazoa; Chordata; Amphibia; Anura; Pelobatidae.
AACAGACACAUAAUCGAGAUCAGACCACUGACGUACAGGAACAGAGGGGGUUGAGGGCCCUGCUCGAUGAGCUUACAUGCUAGAGGGAGUGGGGUAUAGUGACACAAAGGGUUAAAGUAGGGGAAUUAAAUAGUUUGUUACAGAAGGGUUUAUUGAGUGCUUGGUAGGUCAUUUUUGACAGGUGAAGGAACGGAGUCAUGGGGUGGGGGAUGAGAAACCUGCUGACAGUUUAAUUGAUACGCUUUAAUAAAGAAGUGAGUUUUCAAAGAUUUUUUGAAGGAAUGGAGGCUGGGUGAAAGUCUGAUUGAGGAGGGAAGGGAGUUCCACAGAAUAGGUGCAGCCCUGGAGAAGUCUUGAAGGCGAGCAUCAGAGGUGGGG